This 465-nucleotide ribosomal RNA is filed under the name Vreelandella stevensii. RNAcentral describes it as "partial 16S ribosomal RNA". It matches the Rfam family "Bacterial small subunit ribosomal RNA", at positions 338 to 795 of the family's 1533-position model. The record is from RNAcentral. Lineage: Bacteria; Pseudomonadati; Pseudomonadota; Gammaproteobacteria; Oceanospirillales; Halomonadaceae.
CCUACGGGGGGCAGCAGUGGGGAAUAUUGGACAAUGGGCGAAAGCCUGAUCCAGCCAUGCCGCGUGUGUGAAGAAGGCCUUCGGGUUGUAAAGCACUUUCAGUGGGGAAGAAAGCCUUGGGGCUAAUACCCUCGAGGAAGGACAUCACCCACAGAAGAAGCACCGGCUAACUCCGUGCCAGCAGCCGCGGUAAUACGGAGGGUGCGAGCGUUAAUCGGAAUUACUGGGCGUAAAGCGCGCGUAGGCGGUCUGAUAAGCCGGUUGGGAAAGCCCCGGGCUCAACCUGGGAACGGCAUCCGGAACUGUCAGGCUAGAGUGCGGGAGAGGAAGGUAGAAUUCCCGGUGUAGCGGUGAAAUGCGUAGAGAUCGGGAGGAAUACCAGUGGCGAAGGCGGCCUUCUGGACUGACACUGACGCUGAGGUGCGAAAGCGUGGGUAGCAAACAGGAUUAGAUACCCCAGUAGUC